GUGUCAGCAGCCGCGGUAAAACGUAGGAGGCAAGCGUUAUCCGGAUUCACUGGGCGUAAAGCGCGUGCAGGCGGUUCGGUAAGUUGGGCGUGAAAUCUCCCGGCUCAACUGGGAGAGGUCGUUCAAUACUACCGGACUUGAGAGCAGAAGAGGAAAGUGGAAUUCCCGGUGUAGUGGUGAAAUGCGUAGAUAUCGGGAGGAACACCAGUGGCGAAGGCGACUUUCUGGUCUGUUUCUGACGCUCAGACGCGACAGCUAGGGUAGUAAACGGGAUUAGAGACCCCGGUAAUCCUAGCCGUAAACGAUGUAAACUUGGUGUCGGUGGCUUAAACACUAUCGGUACCGCAGCUAACGCGAUAAGUUUACCGCCUGGGGACUACGAUCGCAAGAUUAAA
Molecule: ribosomal RNA, 395 nt
Filed under: uncultured bacterium
Lineage: Bacteria
Description: bacterial SSU rRNA
Rfam family: Bacterial small subunit ribosomal RNA
Source: RNAcentral